GACAAUUAUGAGAUUCCACUUCGUGGUCAGUGUUUUUGACAACUCGUGAUAUUGGUGGAAAUUCUGAUGUC
Small nucleolar RNA from Amblyraja radiata (thorny skate), 71 nucleotides. RefSeq annotates it as small nucleolar RNA SNORD18. The transcript has a single exon. The record is from RefSeq and is a predicted model, not a curated record. NCBI's taxonomy places the organism in Eukaryota, Metazoa, Chordata, Chondrichthyes, Rajiformes, Rajidae.